CAGCCGCCGCGGGAAUACGAAGGGGGCUAGCGUUGUUCGGAUUUACUGGGCGUAAAGGGCGCGUAGGCGGACUGAUAAGUCAGGGGUGAAAUCCCAAGGCUCAACCUUGGAACUGCCUUUGAUACUGUUUGUCUUGAGUUCGAGAGAGGUAAGUGGAACUGCGAGUGUAGAGGUGGAAUUCGUAGAUAUUCGCAAGAACACCAGUGGCGAAGGCGGCUUACUGGCUCGAAACUGACGCUGAGGCGCGAAAGCGUGGGGAGCAAACAGGAUUAGAUACCCCCGUAGUCCCUGUCUCUUAUAC
RNAcentral lists this ribosomal RNA (301 nucleotides) under uncultured bacterium. RNAcentral's name for it is "partial 16S ribosomal RNA". It matches the Rfam family "Bacterial small subunit ribosomal RNA", at positions 509 to 807 of the family's 1533-position model. The record is from RNAcentral.